This 5526-nucleotide long non-coding RNA is filed under the name Sus scrofa (pig). Its description in RNAcentral is "lncRNA (ENSSSCG00025030351.1)". The record is from RNAcentral. Lineage: Eukaryota; Metazoa; Chordata; Mammalia; Artiodactyla; Suidae.
UUUUCCUCCUCUGUGAAUUGCCUACUCAUGUCCUUUGUCCAUUUUCUGUUGGGACUCCCCAUCUGGUUUUUGUUUAUUUGCAAAAAUUCCUUACAGGUCUACAUAUCAAUACCUUGUUUCUUUUGGUGUUCAAGUAGCUUUUUCAAAUCUGUCACCCAGUAGGUACCUUCGUGAGAUCAUUUCCUAAUUUUUUUUUUUAAAACUUGAGAUAUAAUUGACAUCAUAUUAUAUUAAUUUCAGGUGUAUGACAUAGUGAUUUGAUAUCUGUAUACUUUGUGAAAUCAUCAUAAAUCUAGUUAACACCCACCACCACACAGUUACAAAAUUUUCUUCUUAUGAUGAAGAUUUUUAGAUCUCCCUCUUAGCAACUUCCAAGUAUACAGUCCAGUGUAAUGAACUAUAGUCACCAUGCUAUACAUUACAUCCCCAGAAUGUAUUUAUUUUAUAACCAGACCUUUGUACCUUUUAACCACUUUCACGUAUUUUGCUCACCUCCAUCCACCUUUGGUAACUACUUGUUGAAAAGAAAUCCUCAAGUUUUAGGUAUUUGAGACAUAAUUAUACAAAACAAUUAUUUAUCUAAGAGGCUUUUCCGCCAUUCCAGACCCUCCUCUUUGCAAGAGUUUUCUGUGAAGCAUUAUUCUAUUAAUAUACUUUCAUAUGUUGUAAAUAGCCAACUCUCUCCUUACAUUUAGUUAGGGACUAAUUCUACAAUAGAGAGAAAAUUAAUUCUUGGACUUUUAAGAACCUAGCUGAAAACCACAAGCAUUGCCAAAGACCGAACACUUAUUUAAUCAUUCCUGUUUUGGCUAGUAUCCUUUUAUUUUAUUUAUUAAAAAUUUUUUUUUGGCUGUGCCUGCGGCAUGUGGAAGUUCUCAUGCCCAGGAUCAAAGCUGUGCAACAGCAGCGACCCGAGCUGCUGCAGUGACAACACCAGAUCCUUAACCCACUGUGCCACAGGAGAACUCCUGCCUAGAGUCAUUUUAACGUAAACUAUGGACACACACACACACUGCCCACUUCUGUGAGAAAUGCUCACAUCUGUGGCCAAUUUCUAGUUUCAGGAGUUAGACACAUUGCUGGCCACUAGAUAGGGCUGGAACCUUAUUUAUGCAGCUUCCUAUGUGCGCUAUUCCUGGGUGUCCCAUUUCAGAAGUAAAGUUGCCUUUGUUUUAUACUUUUUAGAACAUUUUCCCAAAGCAGUCUUCAUCUUUAAAUUCCCCACAGAGCACAUACAUAAAGGGAAAAAAGAAAAGGGAAAGGAGUUCCCGUUGUGACGCAGCGGAAAUGAAUCAGACUAGGAACCAUGAGAUUGUGGGUUCAAUCCCUGGCCUUGAUCAGUGGGUUAAGGAUCCGGUGUUGGUGUGAGCUGUGUAGGUCGCAGACUCGACUCAGAUCUGGGCAUUGCUGUGGCCCUGGCGUAGGCUGGCAGCUACNGCUUGGGUUUGACCCCUAACCUCCACACGCCGAGGGUGCAGCCCUAAAAGGAGAAAAGACCAAAAAAAAAAAAAAAAAGGGGGGGGGAAGAAAAGGGAAAAACUUCCAAGUGUAUCUGCCAAUCAUGUUUCAGCAUAACAACUAUCAUUACUUGAAGGACAAGUCUCUCAGCUGUGCUCAGAGUUGGGGGCGGUUCUGGGUACAGUCAGCCUCCUCCCUCAGUUUUCUAAGACGGUUUAGUGGACUUUGGAGCCAAAGAUCAGGAACCUCUCCUUUUCCUUACCAGGUCCUACACUGAUUGAUUGUUUCUUAAAAUAGCAGUAAGUGUGAUUGAGAACUUUAUUGUCCAAGACCACUUUUUGAUGAAAUUCUUUUAUUUGCUACUGAGGAUAUUUAGUAAUUAUCAGAUGUUACUGGUUUUAGUUCUCUGCUAGUGAGGUUUUUAUUGACUUGAAUUGUUUAAGAAUUUAGGAAGUCGUGGCCCUGGCUCUUCUUUGCAGUAGAUCUGCAGGAAAAGAGGCUGGUUGACGGUUAAGACCAUGGACACAGCCUGGUUAUAGGUCUCUGGCGUGGGGGGGGCAGGUUAAGGAAACUGCUUCUCUUUCCUAUACCUGAGGUAGUGAUGACAUUUAUAGCAAUUUAUCUUCUGUUCAGGGUAUUGACAUGCUGCUUUUCUUUAUGCUUUAAUAAAAACAUUAUAAGGUGGUCAGUGGGAUUAUGAUAUAGAGCAAGAUAAAGAUUUUGAAGAACUUUUAAUUUCCUCAUUCUCCCUGUGCUCUGCCUUGUGGGUUGUAAAUUGAGUAAAGUUUGUUUUGGCAGGGAGUAAAGGGCUCAAUAAUUGUCAUGCUCUCUUAGUUGUUAUUUAUCAAAUCCUUUUUCUUGUAUAUAGGAAGAAUUUUCACCUGGGAAAUGGCCAUGAGCCUCAGCUCGCUGAGUCAGGCUAGUUCAGGGGCUUCCUGGUAUAAUAGCUUGCUUAACACCUUGGCUGCAGGAGUUCCCAUCAUGGCUCAGUGGUUAAGAACUUGACAUAGUAUCUGUGAUGAUGAGGGUUCAAUCCCUGACUUUGCUUAGUGAGUUAAGGAUCUGGCAUUGCUGGAUCUGGUAUUGCCAUGGCUGUGGUAUAGCCCCCAGCUGCAGUUCCAUUCAACCCCUAGCCCAGGAACUUCCAUAUGCCGCAGGUGGACCAUAAAGAAAAAGAAAAACAAACAAAAACCAAAAACCUUGGCUUCACAGAAGGGGAGCAGGCUCCACAGUGGUUUGCUACAAUUUGAGACAAAACUGAAACAUUAUCAACUACCAAGGAGAAAAACACCUGAACUACUUGCAUUAUCUUGGGCUGUUUUAUUUUCUGUAAAGGUAGCUCUGUUGGAUUUUUUUGAGUUAUUAAAAUGUCUUCAAAGAUUUCAUUAGCACCUUCCUGGCUCAUGAUUUAUGAAGCAUUAGUCUAGGCUGGCAGGUAGAAAUUUUUUAAUGCAGGAUUUUUAUUUUUAAUGCCGUGAGUGUGAGUUCCACACGGUUCCUAGCACAUGCUAGGUAAACCAACCGCCCAGCUGUAACUCAUGGGAUUUAUAAUCUACUCAUUACAAGGAAGACUCUUCUUCUAUUUAAGGGAUUAAAAAAGAUACCUUGAGACUGGAGAAUCAAUUAAAUAUGUAAUUGUCAUUUGAAUAAGAGGAAGUAUGCCAAGUUAUGAAUGUAUUUUUAAAGACACACAUACAAAUAACAGCAUGGAAGGAUACAAAAAGACAAGUAAAAUUCCCCUUUCAAACCACUCUUCUUUGUAACCUACUCUCAGACAUUUUUUUCUUUCCCAUAUCUGGGCAUAUAGAUUUAACUCAUUCUUUUUUAAUAAACUUACUAGUAGAAAAAUUUCAAACAUAAACCAGGUAGAGGAACAGUGUGUAAUGAGCCCAAUCUAUUGUUCAGCUUCAACAAUGAUCAAUAAUCUCUUUUUUUUGGUGGGGGGGAGUUGAAUCUGUGGCAUAUGGAGGUUCCCAGGCUAGGGGGUUGAAUUGGAGCUGCAGCUACCAGCCUACACCACAGCCACAGCAAUGCUGGAUCUGAGCAGCAUCUGUGACCUACGCUGCAGCUUGUGGCAAUGCCAGACCCUUAACCCACUGAGCGAAGCCAGAGAUUGAACCUGCAUCCUCAUGGCUACUAGUUGGGUUCUUAACCCACUGAGCCACAAUGGUAACUCCAAUAAUCUUGUUUUUAUAUUUCGUAAUUUAGAUUGUUUUGAGGCAAAAUUCUAGGCAUGUUUCAUUGGCAAAUAUUUCCUAACUACUGUUGACCUUUGACCACCACCAGGGUUAGGGGAACUGACUCUUCACACAGUGGAAAAUCUAGCAAUAAUUUUUAGUCACCCUUCCAUACUCUGGGUUCCUCCCUACCUGUCCUGCAUCUGUGGAUUCAAACAACUCCCAAGUGUAGUAGUUUAGUAUCAACUAUUGAAGAAAAUCCACAUGUAUGUGGACCUAUUCAGUUCAAAUUGGGGUUGUUCGAGGGUAAAUUGUGUUUAAUAUUUAUUACUAGAUUUUAAUUUUUACAAGUUUUAGAUUUACAGAAAAACUGAGCAGAUAGUAGACUGCCAUACUAUACCCUUUCCCAGUUUUCUCUAUUAUUCACAUUCCCCAUUAUAGGGUGUAUUAUAUACAUUGGGUUUAAAUCUUUAAAAUUAUAGUUGAUUUACAAUGUUGUUAUAGACGUUGUUAAUAACUGUGUGGUAUAGUCAUUAAAAUUAAUGAACAAAGAGUGAUGCAUUAUUAGUCAAUAGUUUAUUCAGAUUUCCUUGAUUUUUACCAACUACCCAUUUUCUUCUCCAAAAUCUCAUCCAGGAUAUAUUACCUUUAGUUAUCAUUGCUUCUUAGAGUCCUCUUGAUUAUAACAUUUCCCCAGACUUUUAUGGGUUUUGAUGACCUUGACAGUUUUAUUUUUUUUGGUUUGUUUUUUGGCCGCUCCCUGGAACCCAAGGAGUCCCACUCUGGGCGCCCCCUGCCCGCGCCCCAUUUGGCUGUGCCGCCGGCCAGAGAGCCUGGCUAACUGGAGCCUGUCGGGCCUGGGCAGUGUUCGGGACCCUUAGACUACAGAGGCGGUGACCGAGAGCGUCCCUCUCUGGGAACUACUAGUUCACCAGGUGAACUACACCAAGAGGCGGCUUGGGCGGUGGCGGGAGGGGGGAGGGGCGCGCGGGAGGGGCGGGGGCCGGGCGCCUAAGAGGCGGAGCCCGCCCCUCACAGCAGCCGCCGGCGCCAAUGUUCUUACCUGCACCCCUCCGGCGCCUGGGGCUUCGUCGGGCCCAAAGUCUGAGACAGAUUAGAGGCGAUGGCCAUAACCCAGAAGUCGUUUACAUCGAGCUGUGGAUGUUACCCGCGUUGUUUGGUGAGUAAGCCCAGAGUUCGCUCCCUCUGACAUCCUGCCGCAGGCAUCUCGUUCGGUGUCGCCCACGUUCUUGCCCGUGGGUGGGGCCUUAACCUAGUGGCCCCGAGGUUUCCUGAAACCCUAGGCUAUCCGUGGGCCAGUCUGGGCGGCCUCUAGCCUGAGGCCCCUUCCGUCACUUCCCGGUAGUGUGGACCCCUACCCGCUGCUCAGCUCCCCUUCCCCUUCCCAGGCGGGGAAGGCGAACUGCUGGCGGCCUUCCACGAGUGGUUCGGGGUAUUACUCGUGAUCAGUGCAGUUCCAGGAUGCGGAGUCUUGAUCUUCAUCAUUGGACGGCCCUUUUACCAGUAUCUUACGAUGCUCCUCAUUGUGGCCAUGUCUUUCCAGCUUCUGAUCCGCCGAAAUCGAGGUGAGGGGUCUCGGGGGCCCAGGCAGGGAACGCUUCCUUCGCCCAGGGGUCGGGGAAAGUAGGUUUCCGCUCUCUGCAUCUUUUUGGCUCACGGCAGUUCCUCAGCCUAGGACCAGGCUCAAUUUUGAAAACAAUCACUCCGUCUAAAAUCCCCUGGUGUGGGUCCUGGCUUCUGAGUAGGAAGAGCGGGGUGCGUUUGGGAGUCUGUGGUAGACCCAAGGGUGAAAAUCUGUCUUAUCGUACCCUCCUGCUGAGGGUCCUCGGGAAGUCCUCAGUAGCACUUUGAGGGGCGUCUUCCGCCGAAU